RNAcentral lists this ribosomal RNA (258 nucleotides) under uncultured Gardnerella sp. Its description in RNAcentral is "partial 16S ribosomal RNA". It matches the Rfam family "Bacterial small subunit ribosomal RNA", at positions 98 to 355 of the family's 1533-position model. The record is from RNAcentral. Lineage: Bacteria; Bacillati; Actinomycetota; Actinomycetes; Bifidobacteriales; Bifidobacteriaceae.
CGGAACGGGUGAGUAAUGCGUGACCAACCUGCCCCAUGCUCCAGAAUAGCUCUUGGAAACGGGUGGUAAUGCUGGAUGCUCCAACUUGACGCAUGUCUUGUUGGGAAAGUGUUUAGUGGCAUGGGAUGGGGGUCGCGUCCUAUCAGCUUGUAGGCGGGGUAAUGGCCCACCUAGGCUUCGACGGGUAGCCGGCCUGAGAGGGCGGACGGCCACAUUGGGACUGAGAUACGGCCCAGACUCCUACGGGAGGCAGCAGCC